Molecule: ribosomal RNA, 427 nt
Filed under: uncultured bacterium
Lineage: Bacteria
Description: partial 16S ribosomal RNA
Rfam family: Bacterial small subunit ribosomal RNA
Source: RNAcentral
UGGGGAAUUUUGGACAAUGGGCGCAAGCCUGAUCCAGCCAUGCCGCGUGUCUGAAGAAGGCCUUCGGGUUGUAAAGGACUUUUGUCAGGGAAGAAAAGGGCGGGGUUAAUACCCCUGUCUGAUGACGGUACCUGAAGAAUAAGCACCGGCUAACUACGUGCCAGCAGCCGCGGUAAUAAGUAGGGCGCGAGCGUUAAUCGGAAUUACUGGGCGUAAAGCGGGCGCAGACGGUUACUUAAGCAGGAUGUGAAAUCCCCGGGCUCAACCUGGGAACUGCGUUCUGAACUGGGUGACUAGAGUGUGUCAGAGGGAGGUAGAAUUCCACGUGUAGCAGUGAAAUGCGUAGAGAUGUGGAGGAAUACCGAUGGCGAAGGCAGCCUCCUGGGAUAACACUGACGUUCAUGCCCGAAAGCGUGGGUAGCAAACA